Molecule: ribosomal RNA, 429 nt
Filed under: bacterium
Lineage: Bacteria
Description: partial 16S ribosomal RNA
Rfam family: Bacterial small subunit ribosomal RNA
Source: RNAcentral
UAGGGAAUCUUCGGCAAUGGGGGCAACCCUGACCGAGCAACGCCGCGUGAGUGAAGAAGGUUUUCGGAUCGUAAAGCUCUGUUGUAAGAGAAGAACGUGUGUGAGAGUGGAAAGUUCACACAGUGACGGUAACUUACCAGAAAGGGACGGCUAACUACGUGCCAGCAGCCGCGGUAAUACGUAGGUCCCGAGCGUUGUCCGGAUUUAUUGGGCGUAAAGCGAGCGCAGGCGGUUUAAUAAGUCUGAAGUUAAAGGCAGUGGCUUAACCAUUGUUCGCUUUGGAAACUGUUAAACUUGAGUGCAGAAGGGGAGAGUGGAAUUCCAUGUGUAGCGGUGAAAUGCGUAGAUAUAUGGAGGAACACCGGUGGCGAAAGCUGCUCUCUGGUCUGUAACUGACGCUGAGGCUCGAAAGCGUGGGGAGCAAACAGG